RNAcentral lists this small RNA (130 nucleotides) under Escherichia coli. RNAcentral describes it as "partial RtT sRNA". It matches the Rfam family "RtT RNA", at positions 34 to 130 of the family's 130-position model. From Rfam's summary of the family: This family represents a bacterial cis-regulatory element known as RtT RNA. The exact function of RtT is unknown although it is thought that it may be involved in changing the cellular response in relation to amino acid starvation. The record is from RNAcentral. Lineage: Bacteria; Pseudomonadati; Pseudomonadota; Gammaproteobacteria; Enterobacterales; Enterobacteriaceae.
GGUCGCAGGUUCGAAUCCUGCACGACCCACCAGUUUUAGCAUCGAAGACAGAUGUUAAGCGUGUAGGAUAACGUUGCGUCAGCAACGGCCCGUAGGGCGAGCGAAGCGAGUCAUCCUGCACGACCCACCA